Molecule: transfer RNA, 72 nt
Filed under: Camelus bactrianus (Bactrian camel)
Lineage: Eukaryota; Metazoa; Chordata; Mammalia; Artiodactyla; Camelidae
Also listed under: 1 other name
Rfam family: tRNA
About the family: Transfer RNA (tRNA) molecules are approximately 80 nucleotides in length.
Source: Rfam by way of RNAcentral
GAGGGUAUAGCUCAGUGGUAGAGUGUAUGCUUAGCAUGCAUGAGAUCCCGGGUUCAAUUCCUGGUACCUCCA